RNAcentral lists this ribosomal RNA (522 nucleotides) under uncultured bacterium. Its description in RNAcentral is "bacterial SSU rRNA". It matches the Rfam family "Bacterial small subunit ribosomal RNA", at positions 355 to 896 of the family's 1533-position model. The record is from RNAcentral.
UGGGGAAUAUUGGACAAUGGCAAGAGUCUGAUCCAGCAAUUCUGUGUGCACGAUGACGUUUUUCGGAAUGUAAAGUGCUUUCAGUUGGGAAGAAAAAAAUGACGGUACCAACAGAAGAAGUGACGGCUAAAUACGUGCCAGCAGCCGCGGUAAUACGUAUGUCACGAGCGUUAUCCGGAUUUAUUGGGCGUAAAGCGCGUCUAGGUGGUUAUGUAAGUCUGAUGUGAAAAUGCAGGGCUCAACUCUGUAUUGCGUUGGAAACUGUGUAACUAGAGUACUGGAGAGGUAAGCGGAACUACAAGUGUAGAGGUGAAAUUCGUAGAUAUUUGUAGGAAUGCCGAUGGAGAAGCCAGCUUACUGGACAGAUACUGACGCUGAAGCGCGAAAGCGUGGGUAGCAAACAGGAUUAGAUACCCUGGUAGUCCACGCCGUAAACGAUGAUUACUAGGUGUUGGGGGUCGAACCUCAGCGCCCAAGCAAACGCGAUAAGUAAUCCGCCUGGGGAGUACGUACGCAAGUAUG